GAUGAACGCUGACAGAAUGCUUAACACAUGCAAGUCAACUUGAAUUUGGGUUUUUAACUUAGGUUUGGGUGGCGGACGGGUGAGUAACGCGUAAAGAACUUGCCUCACAGCUAGGGACAACAUUUGGAAACGAAUGCUAAUACCUAAUAUUAUGAUAAUAGGGCAUCCUAUAAUUAUGAAAGCUAUAAGCGCUGUGAGAGAGCUUUGCGUCCCAUUAGCUAGUUGGAGAGGUAACGGCUCACCAAGGCGAUGAUGGGUAGCCGGCCUGAGAGGGUGAUCGGCCACGAGGGGACUGAGACACGGCCCUUACUCCUACGGGAGGCAACAGUGGGGAAUAUUGGACAAUGGACCGAGAGUCUGAUCCAGCAAUUCUGUGUGCACGAUGAAGUUUUUCGGAAUGUAAAGUGCUUUCAGUUGGGAAGAAACAAAUGACGGUACCAACAGAAGAAGUGACGGCUAAAUACGUG
Molecule: ribosomal RNA, 467 nt
Filed under: uncultured bacterium
Lineage: Bacteria
Description: partial 16S ribosomal RNA
Rfam family: Bacterial small subunit ribosomal RNA
Source: RNAcentral